RNAcentral lists this ribosomal RNA (351 nucleotides) under Triticum aestivum (bread wheat). RNAcentral describes it as "partial small subunit ribosomal RNA". Lineage: Eukaryota; Viridiplantae; Streptophyta; Magnoliopsida; Poales; Poaceae. The record is from RNAcentral.
AUGCAGGACUAUUCCACGAAGAAUCCUACAUAUCCGCCGCACCUCUUCCGGAGAAGGUAUCGAAUGCGCCAAUCCCUCUUCGUGAAAGUAGUGCAAGCUUGCGAGGCCAAUUCUCGGUUUUUUACUCAAAGGAGAAAUGCCGCGGGCUUGUUAGGUUUUAGCGCAUGUCAAAAAAUAUCGCCAGCUAUGCGGGUGAUUGCAUAUGGCAUUCCAGCCGACUAUGCCGAAAAAUAUCUUGGCACUGGCGAAGAUACUAUAAUUGAGCCAGUGCGUACGUUCACCAAAGUGAUCAUCCGCGUCUUUGGUCCUGUCUACGUCGUGCACCCAACAAGGAAGACACAAAAAAGUUGA